This 426-nucleotide ribosomal RNA is filed under the name uncultured prokaryote. Its description in RNAcentral is "bacterial SSU rRNA". It matches the Rfam family "Bacterial small subunit ribosomal RNA", at positions 355 to 774 of the family's 1533-position model. The record is from RNAcentral.
UCGAGAAUUUUUCACAAUGGGCGAAAGCCUGAUGAAGCGACGCCGCGUGGGGGAUGAAGGGCUUCGGCCUGUAAACCCCUGUCAUUUGCGACCAAACCUUUUCACCUAACACGUGAAGAGCUGAUUGUAGUGAAAGAGGAAGGGACGGCUAACUCUGUGCCAGCAGCCGCGGUAAUACAGAGGUCCCAAGCGUUGUUCGGAUUUACUGGGCGUAAAGGGUGCGUAGGAGGUGAGGUAAGUGUGGUGUGAAAUCUCCGAGCCUAACUCGGAAACUGCAUUUAAUACUGUCUUGCUUGAGUGUCGGAGGGGAGACUGGAAUUCUCGGUGUAGCAGUGAAAUGCGUAGAUAUCGGGAGGAACACCAGUGGCGAAAGCGAGUCUCUGGACGACACCUGACACUGAGGCACGAAAGCUAGGGGAUCAAACA